RNAcentral lists this ribosomal RNA (305 nucleotides) under uncultured bacterium. Its description in RNAcentral is "bacterial SSU rRNA". It matches the Rfam family "Bacterial small subunit ribosomal RNA", at positions 337 to 639 of the family's 1533-position model. The record is from RNAcentral.
CCCUACGGGGCGCAGCAGUGAGGAAUAUUGGUCAAUGGGCGCGAGCCUGAACCAGCCAAGUCGCGUGAGGGAUGACGGUCCUACGGAUUGUAAACCUCUUUUGCCGGGGAGCAAGCGUGCGUUCGUGAACGCGCGUCGAGAGUACCCGGAGAAAAAGCAUCGGCUAACUCCGUGCCAGCAGCCGCGGUAAUACGGAGGAUGCGAGCGUUAUCCGGAUUUAUUGGGUUUAAAGGGUGCGUAGGCGGGCUUUUAAGUCAGCGGUAAAAAUUCGGGGCUCAACCCCGUCCGGCCGUUGAAACUGGGGG